This is a non-coding RNA of Trichobilharzia regenti, 44 nucleotides long. NCBI's taxonomy places the organism in Eukaryota, Metazoa, Platyhelminthes, Trematoda, Strigeidida, Schistosomatidae. The record is from Rfam.
AUUCAGUGAUGAGUUCCAAAUAGGACGAAAUUCGCAUCCUGGAU